UUUAUUACCUUGAUCCUGAUCUCUAACUCUUAUUCCCAAACAGAAAUCAUUGAGUUUAUUAAUAUUGUCUACUCUAGGAUCAUAUUAAAACAAAGCGAGGUAUAUUUCAUUCAACUACUCACGACGUCUUUCAUAUAUCUAUUUACUAAAGCGAGGUAUAUUUGACUCAUAUAAUAUUUAACUACCCAAUUCGAUUUUUGUUUCAGUAAGAUGUGUGUGUUUUUGGUGCAAUCAGUAAGAUGUGUUGUGUUCUUACUUCUUAUGGAUGUGUCCAAGUUGUUUACAUAUGAUAACAGAGGAUCCUCCUCAUAGCUGAAGUUACAAAAAGAGAAGAAGAUAUUUUUUCACUAAAGCUAAGUAUUCUUUUUUUUUUUUUUUUUGAAACACUACUAAAGCUAAGUAUUCUAUCCAGAAAAUAUAUUAUGUUUCUUAUUGUGGAAUUAUUUUUUCAGACAAUUUAGGCUCUACAAUAAAAAUUCAGAAGCUAAUUUAGAUGUAUUUACAUGUAAUUUACUAAUUUAGGCUCUAAUAAUUCAAAAGAUAAUUUUAAUUUAUAUAAAUAAAAUACAACAAAGUCUGUUAAGAUAAGUUGAUCUCAAGUCUAUCUUUAUAAAGUUUGCAUAAUAUAUUGUUCAAUGAACCUUGUAAAAUAAUGAUUUGUUCUUCACUGGCCAUAUGUUUAUGUUCGUAAAACUACUAAAAGACAACUUCAAACAAACAUUUUUUCUUGUUUAGUAAAACAGGAUCACCAUACCUUUCCAGACACUAUUCAGUACUGGUUCUGUUUUAAGAAGAAGCUCUUUUCAACUAACAACUGAGAAAAUAAUCUUAACAGGUACUCAUAAGCUCUCCUUUUGUUAUUUUUUUUGUGUGCUUAUGUUGUAAUUAGUGUAUAUGAAUAGUAGCUGUUUUGAUUUUACUAUUGAAUAUAAUGUUAUGGAUAUACAAUAUUAUUUUACAUUUUAGCAGAAUGAUAUUUAAAUUGAGCUUUCUAACUAAACUUACUUUAUGCCUCCAAGUGUGAAUUUUAUUUUCUUUCUUUCUUUUCUACUACAUUGGAGGGUUUGUAGCUCUCCAAUAAAUAUUGCUUGCCCCACAACAUCUACAUAAAACGCAACAUCUACAUAAGUCAAUAUUCAGUCAAACAAAAUUCAAACAAUCACGAUUUUCUUAAGAAACUUUUUAAACUUAUCAAUCAAGAAACUUGUGUUUAGCCUUCCAUUUAAAAUAGUUUCAAACUCCAUAAAAGAAAGAAACAUAUCGGUCACUACUGAAUUCAUAUGGAGUAAUUAUGGUGAGGUCUAUAAAACCCAUUUUAUAAACAGUGAGCGGUAGGUCGGUAUUCACCAGUGCUGAAAUUAAGUAAAACAUUUCAAGGUUUUUCUAAUCACCCAUACGGCAGUCCUCCCCAAACUAACCAAAUAGUUUUUCUUGUUGCAUGAAUUUUAAUACACUGUAACAAAGAUAUGAAUAAUUAAUAAGUCAUGACAGACGCAUGAAAUAUCAAAUAUUUCUUGACUAAAUUAGCUUAUAAUCGUUUACCUUGUCAUAUAAAAUGAUUCUGAUGUGUCACCAAAUUGUUUAUUGAAUUGUUUAAAUGUGCAUGUGAACAGCUUUCACGUGGAUCCACCAAUUCGUUUUGCUAGGUUUCACUUCGGAGAGGUAUGAUAACUUCUCUGUAAGCUUCAUGUUUUCUAUGUAGCUAUUGGUAUUUUGUGUUAGCUGCCACCUCUGCCA
RNAcentral lists this long non-coding RNA (1737 nucleotides) under Brassica rapa (field mustard). RNAcentral's name for it is "long non-coding RNA (BRAP_LNC002928)". The record is from RNAcentral. Lineage: Eukaryota; Viridiplantae; Streptophyta; Magnoliopsida; Brassicales; Brassicaceae.